Transfer RNA from Metarhizium anisopliae BRIP 53293, 110 nucleotides. It matches the Rfam family "tRNA". Rfam says of the family: Transfer RNA (tRNA) molecules are approximately 80 nucleotides in length. Their secondary structure includes four short double-helical elements and three loops (D, anti-codon, and T loops). The record is from Rfam. Lineage: Eukaryota; Fungi; Ascomycota; Sordariomycetes; Hypocreales; Clavicipitaceae.
GUCUUCAUGGCGCAGUUGGUUUAGCGCGUUGGUCUCAUAAGCCCUUGUUUAUGAUCAGAUGAAAUAUCUGGGCCAUCCAAAGGUCGCGAGUUCGAGUCUCGCUGAGGACA